RNAcentral lists this ribosomal RNA (404 nucleotides) under uncultured bacterium. Its description in RNAcentral is "bacterial SSU rRNA". It matches the Rfam family "Bacterial small subunit ribosomal RNA", at positions 28 to 426 of the family's 1533-position model. The record is from RNAcentral.
GAUGAACGCUAGCGGCAGGCUUAACACAUGCAAGUCGAGGGGCAGCGUAGAUUGCUUGCAAUCUGACGGCGACCGGCGAACGGGUGCGUAACGCGUAUAGAACCUACCUUAUACAGAGGGAUACCCCAUGGAAACGUGGACUAAUACCUCAUGGUAUUGUUGAUUGGCAUCGAUUAACAAUUAAAGAUUUAUCGGUAUAAGAUGGCUAUGCGUCCUAUUAGCUAGAUGGUAAGGUAACGGCUUACCAUGGCGAUGAUAGGUAGGGGUCCUGAGAGGGAGAUCCCCCACACUGGUACUGAGACACGGACCAGACUCCUACGGGAGGCAGCAGUGAGGAAUAUUGGUCAAUGGAGGCAACUCUGAACCAGCCAUGCCGCGUGCAGGAAGACUGCCCCUAUGGGUUU